RNAcentral lists this ribosomal RNA (256 nucleotides) under uncultured Pseudomonas sp. RNAcentral describes it as "partial 16S ribosomal RNA". It matches the Rfam family "Bacterial small subunit ribosomal RNA", at positions 96 to 354 of the family's 1533-position model. The record is from RNAcentral. Lineage: Bacteria; Pseudomonadati; Pseudomonadota; Gammaproteobacteria; Pseudomonadales; Pseudomonadaceae.
CGGCGGACGGGUGAGUAAUGCCUAGGAAUCUGCCUGGUAGUGGGGGACAACGUUUCGAAAGGAACGCUAAUACCGCAUACGUCCUACGGGAGAAAGCAGGGACCUUCGGGCCUUGCGCUAUCAGAUGAGCCUAGGUCGGAUUAGCUAGUUGGUGAGGUAAUGGCUCACCAAGGCGACGAUCCGUAACUGGUCUGAGAGGAUGAUCGGUCACACUGGAACUGAGACACGGUCCAGACUCCUACGGGAGGCAGCAGAC